GUGUUAUUGUGGCUUUUCACUUCAGGAAGCAAGCAUAAUGAUGCUAUUCAUUGCAUUAACUGCAAAAAAACUAUCAUUAAGUCUUUGACUGUCUUAUAAUCAUGGGGAAAAGAAUUAAUACUUUGGAGCUCCAAAUAGGCCAGGCGCUUAGCGACCACCAUCCCUUUCAGUUUCCUCAAUAUUCUAGGAGAGAGGUAUCAGUAAUUUGAAUUCCCAUUUUACAGAUGGGGAUCAUCUCAGAGAGAGAAAAUCAUGUGCCCGGUGUGGUGCUAGGUUGUAACUAGGAUCUGCCUGUCCCAAAGCCUGCUCUCUUUCCAAGAUGUCGAGCAGCUGUCCCUUUUAUUUCUGGACUAUUUUGUAAUGCAUAAGGUGUCUUCAUAACAUCAGCUUUCUCAGCCUUGACAAUCUGUUUGUGCGGUGUGGGAGGCAGCGAUUUGGGUCUGUAUUUCGCAGAUGAUGAACAGAGGUUCACAAAUUAUCUGAUUUGCUCUGAGUGAGGCUGCGAGACUCAGGUCUUCAAGUCUACAGUUCUUUGCCCUGUCCACAUCCACCUUAUGCAGAGGUUCUGUAGGUGUCAAGAGUAAAGAAGUUGAUUUCUUAAAAUCAUCAAAUGGAGUCUAGGGUUGGUGACAGACCUGUCUUGAUUUUCUCAGGCCUUUCCUGACAUAGGAAGUCUUGUGUCCCGAGAAUACCCUCAGCCUUGGGCAGACUGGGAGAGUUGAUUCCUCUGACCAGAUACUCACAGAGGUCUUAUAAACAAUGCUGUCACUCUUCAUUCUUUUCAACUCAAUAAAUGUAGACUGCAUGGAAAGUUGAAAAAAGAAACGACAACCUAUAAGCAACCAACAGCAUAUACAUUUGGAAAUAAGAAGAUGAGGAGAACAGAGGCAACAUAUUUCUGUCUGCUUAUUUGGUUGCUCAAAGAACUUAAGUGUUAUUAUGAAGCCGAGUAAUCAGUAUCCUUCUUCACAGCUGUAUGAAAACAUGCAGGUUUGAUAUCAGCUGGACCUGAAUAGAAGCCUGUGAUGUUGACCUUGAUAGACCCUGUGUAUUGGCCUUCUGCAGGCUACUUUUUACUUUUAUGACCAGAUACAGUGACCUGGAGCAGCACUUCCCUCUGUAAUGGGCAAUCCAGUGCCCUCAAGAAGAUUGAAGAGGAUUCAUGACACUCACCCAAUGAUCUCUUGGAGCCUCUUGCUGUGAAUUUCGGCUUCUUGAUCGACCAGCUCACAUUUUUGUCUCUUGUGGCUGUCCUGCUGCCUCUCUCCCAUCUGUCUCAUUCAUUGAUGGGAGUUUUCUCCUUCAUUCUCGAAAGCAUCACUGACACAAGGAAGUUAUAUGCAACAGACUUUUACUAAAAAUUUAAGGAUGGCUCCAGGGAUUAGAGCACAGAGCAGGAACC
This 1402-nucleotide long non-coding RNA is filed under the name Bos indicus x Bos taurus (hybrid cattle). Its description in RNAcentral is "lncRNA (ENSBIXG00000026840.1)". The record is from RNAcentral. Lineage: Eukaryota; Metazoa; Chordata; Mammalia; Artiodactyla; Bovidae.